GUAAUUAGAGUCUGAUCUGACUACAACGAUCAUCAAUUCAUAUUUAUUUGCAUCAUGAGACCAAAGAAACAUGCGCUCUUAGUCAGCCAAAUCCCAUGGCCAGCAUGCUCAAAUGCAAGUUCAAUUUAAUAAAUAUCGAAAAAUGACUGCUUGAGUUCCCCUUUUACCUUCUCAAUGAGUUAUUAUUGACUAAUAUGUUCUAAAUAUACAUGCAAAUACAUAGGAAUAUAACAUAAGUUUAAGAUGAUGUGCUUUUCUUUAUUCUUGAAAGGGGCUAUAAAAAAGAGGUAAAAACUUGCACAAAGCUAAAGAAGUAUAGAAACUCAUUCACCCAUUGAUAAGAAAUGCACACAUUGGUAUUCAUUCCUUUACGGAAAUCAAAAUAGAUUAGAAAAACAAUUAAUGUUCAACCAUCAUCUAUUAAGAGUCUAUACUAACCAAUUAAGAAAAAGAAUGUUGUCC
RNAcentral lists this long non-coding RNA (462 nucleotides) under Spirodela polyrhiza (greater duckweed). RNAcentral describes it as "long non-coding RNA (SPOL_LNC001421)". The record is from RNAcentral. Lineage: Eukaryota; Viridiplantae; Streptophyta; Magnoliopsida; Alismatales; Araceae.